AUGUUUAUGCAUGUGGUACCAACGAGGCAAUCAACCCCCGACAUUUUCCAUAUAAUUAGAGGCACGAGGCAAUCAGCCCCCAACAGUGUCAUAAAGACCAAGGCAAUCAGCCCCCACCAUGAAAUCAUGUAUGCGACUCGAAUGGACACGACACACAUACACAACAACAAUCAACAACAACAUCAACUCAUCAUUUGGCGUAAGCCCUCAACGUUUCAUUUACCAAACUCCAAGGUAAAACGAUCAACAACAACAUAUUUUUCAUUAUGCAAAUCAUUAACAACAAUUCAUCAAUCGCCAAAAUCAUGCAUUCAAUUAAUAGAAGCAUAUCAACAAUAUUCAUAA
Molecule: non-coding RNA, 345 nt
Organism: Vicia faba (fava bean)
Lineage: Eukaryota; Viridiplantae; Streptophyta; Magnoliopsida; Fabales; Fabaceae
Source: the annotation of a GenBank genome assembly